This 328-nucleotide unclassified non-coding RNA is filed under the name soil metagenome. Its description in RNAcentral is "partial contains 5.8S ribosomal RNA, internal transcribed spacer 2, and large subunit ribosomal RNA". The stretch from base 1 to 120 matches the Rfam family "5.8S ribosomal RNA", at positions 35 to 154 of the family's 154-position model. The record is from RNAcentral.
GAUGAAGAACGCAGCGAAAUGCGAUAAGUAAUGUGAAUUGCAGAAUUCAGUGAAUCAUCGAAUCUUUGAACGCACAUUGCGCCCCUUGGUAUUCCGAGGGGCAUGCCUGCUCGAGCGUCAUUAUAACCCCUCAAGCUCAGCUUGGUGUUGGGGCCUGCUGCACUGGCAGCCCUUAAAAUCAGUGGCGGCGCCAUCUGGCUCUAAGCGUAGUAAUUCUUCUCGCUAUGGAGUCCUGGUGGAUGCUUGCCAUCAACCCCCAAUUUUUCUAUGGUUGACCUCGGAUCAGGUAGGGAUACCCGCUGAACUUAAGCAUAUCAAUAAGCGGAGA